UUUUAUUUGAGUUUGAUGAUGGCUCUGAGUGAACGCUAUGUAAAUGCUUGACACAUGCUAAUCGAACGUCAAUAUUUAAUUUGUAUAAAUUAUGUAUAUUGAAGUGGUGUACAGGUGAGUAAGUGGUAUUAUGGCUACCUAAGAGUAAGGCAAAAUAAAUCCCUUAUAAUAACCAUUUAUUAUUAUUUAUUAAUACUAGAUCUAAUCACCCAGUGGUCGAUUAUAUUGAAAAGUUUAGAUAUAAAGGUUAAUAAUAUUAAGAAUAAAUGUGUUUAAAAGAAAUAGUAUUUCGCUCUUAGUUGAUUAUUAAUAACCAUCGGAUAAGUAGUAAGUAUGGUAAUGGCAUAUUUAGCUUGUGUCCGUAGUCAAGACUGAGAGGUCUAUUGACCACACUGGGUCUGAAAAAACCCCAGUGCGUGUAGUACAGCAGUGAGGAAUUUUGGUCAAUGGCCUAACGGCUGAACCAGCAACUUGCAGGAAUGAGAGUUAAUAUAAUAAGUUUAUUAACUUGCUUGACUAGGUCUUAUAAAGUUCUGGAUAAAGCUUAUUAUGAAAACUUUAUAUCCAUAGGUCUCGACCAAAUCUUGUGCCAGCAGUCGCGGUAAGACAAGGGAGACGAGUGUUAUUCAUCUUUAACAGGUAUAUAGGGUACCUAGACGGUGUGCAAUGGCUUAAAUAAGUACCUGGUACACUUGAGUUUGAUAUGUGAGAGGAAUAUGUCGGAAUUGUUGGAGGAAAGAUGAAAUUUGUUAAUACCAAUAGGACUGAUAACGGCGAAGGCAAACCUCUAUGUACAUGUACUUGCUAUUUCUAAAUUAGAAGAAAUUUCUCUUAUAAAAGAUAGAUCUUAUAUAAAAAAAGAGGAAAACAGCAAUGUGCUAUAACUGACGUUGAGGGACGAAGGCUCAGAGAGUGAAGAGGAUUAGAUACCCCCGUAACCUGGGCAGACAAUGAUGAGUGCCAUAGGUUGGCUUUAAGGCGGAACUAUAAAUGAAAGUGGAAGCACUCCACCUCAAGAGUAAUGUGGCAACGCAGGAACUGAAAUCAUUAGACCGUUUCUGAAACCAGUAGUGAAGUAUGUUAUUUAAUUCGAUGAUCCGCGAAUAACCUUACCACAAUUUGAAUGACCUAAAAUAUUUUUUUUGAAUUUUUAGACCACAUGCGUUGCAUGGCUGUCUUCAGUUAAUGUCGUGAGAUUUGGUUAGGUCCAUUAAAUUAACGUAAACCCUUGUUUUAUUUAUUACAAUAAAGCAGCUCUCCGCUUACAAUUGGAUGUGAUAAUAGGGACUAAGACAAGUCAUCAUGGCCUUAAUAUUGUGGGCUAUAGACGUGCCACAUGUGCCUUUACAAAGGGAUGCAAUAAUGCGAAUUGGAGCUAAUCCCUAAAAUAGGAUAAAGUAUGGAUUGUAGUCUGAAAUUCGACUGCAUGAAAAAGGAAUUACUAGUAAUCGUGAGUAAUCACAUCACGGUGAAUUUUAUCUCAGAUAGGUACUAACCACUCGUCAGGCGCUGAAAGGAGUAUGUGCAAUAAGUUUGGUGGCUGCGGAUUGCUAGUCUAAAUGUACAGGUUUAGAUCUUUUGGCAGAAAUAUCUUCGUAUGCGUGACUCUAAUUGGUGUUAAGUCGAAAUACGGUUCGGGUUGGGGAACUAGCCCGGGAUAAAUGAAUAUU
Molecule: ribosomal RNA, 1670 nt
Filed under: Stemphylium lycopersici
Lineage: Eukaryota; Fungi; Ascomycota; Dothideomycetes; Pleosporales; Pleosporaceae
Description: Bacterial small subunit ribosomal RNA
Rfam family: Bacterial small subunit ribosomal RNA
Source: Rfam by way of RNAcentral